RNAcentral lists this transfer RNA (72 nucleotides) under Bos taurus (domestic cattle). It matches the Rfam family "tRNA". Rfam says of the family: Transfer RNA (tRNA) molecules are approximately 80 nucleotides in length. RNAcentral also lists the same sequence under 5 other names. The record is from Rfam by way of RNAcentral. Lineage: Eukaryota; Metazoa; Chordata; Mammalia; Artiodactyla; Bovidae.
UCCCUGGUAGCUCAGCUGGUAAAGAAUCCACCUGCAAUGUGGGAGACCUGGGUUCGAUUCCUGGGUUGGGAA